RNAcentral lists this long non-coding RNA (1412 nucleotides) under Homo sapiens (human). RNAcentral describes it as "non-protein coding lnc-METTL26-6:1". The record is from RNAcentral. Lineage: Eukaryota; Metazoa; Chordata; Mammalia; Primates; Hominidae.
CCCACCCCGACCCCACUGUGUUCCACCUGAUGAGCAGCGAUGGCACCUGCACCCCAGAGCUGGACGUGCGGGCCAGGACAUCCCAGAGGAAGACGGCGUCCCCUGCGCUGAGGACCUGCUGCUGGUCAGGAGAGAAGGCCACAGCCUGCACGGGUUCCGAGUGGCCGAUGUACACCUAGGGGUAGCGGCGUCACAUGCAGGACCCCGAGGCGGGGCAUGGAUGCUGCCGUGUGCCCAGUCCCCAGGGACGGUGAGCCCCACACAGUGUGAGGCCCCGGAGGCACAGAGGAUCCUUGGGGGGUCACUCUCACCCCUCACCUUCUGCUCUCCCUGCCCCCACCCACACCUGCAGGGGUCUCCAGGGCCACCUGAGGAGGCUCCUGACCGCCAAAGCCACCUGCCUCCCCACGCACACACCUGGGGGCCUGGGCUGGCCUGUGUGGCGUAGUCCCACACCUUGAUGGUCCGGCCGGCGGCAAUCAGCAGGAAGCGGGCGUCCUCACUGAGCGUCAAGGAGGGGCAGGGCUCAGGGUGGACACCGGGCAGCUGGAACACAGUGCUCUUGGGAAAUGCCGUGUCUCAGGAGAGUGGCCAGCAGCCUGGGGCCUCCCUUCGUUGUGGGUGUGGCGACGGCCCCCCACCCAGCUGGAGAGGCUGCAGGCACAGAGGCCAGGCCUGGACAGCACAGGGAGGGCCAGGUCGGCGGGCCACAGCCCUGAGGCUCACCUCCCGGAUGAUGCGGCCCGACACAGCAUCCAGCACCACGACUCUGUUGGACGAGGUGGACACCAGCAGGUGGCCCAGAGCUGCAGGGCCAAAGCACACAGCCAUGGCUGAGUCCAGGCGGCUGCUGGCCAGGUCCAGAGUGCCGAUGUCAACUCGCAGCAGCUGGGGGUAGUGGUAAGUGGCCGACAGUCAGGGCCCCUGGGCAGAGCCGGUGCCACCCAGGGUCAGGCUCGGGAGGGAGGUCCCGGGGACACGCACUCGGCACCCAGGCAGCACCUGCCCUGCACAGGAACCUGGCCGCACGUGGGCCCCACAUGGCUGAUGUGUACUCUGCGACAGGAGGCGGGACAGGGCCUGGGUCCUGCUCCCGAGUGGCCGUGACCUCCCUCCUGCCCCUGCAGCCAGCCUCUCAUGGCCCAGUCUCCCUGGACCCAGGAGGGCUGCGGACUCACCUCAUCAAGGGAGGCCGAGCCCAUGACUGUCACUGUGCACCUGGAGGGUCCCACAAAGGCCAGCAGGCGGCCAUCCCUGCUGACUGCCAGGGCGCUGGGGCUCGCGGGGGCAUCCGGGCAUACCAUGUCCGCUGUGGCCACACGGGGCAGGGGUCAGCUGGGUGGGGAGUGCCGGGGUGCGCGUGGCCAGGGCCCGAGGAGGCCGCCGCCCCUGCCCCCACUUUCGGGAAACAC